RNAcentral lists this ribosomal RNA (261 nucleotides) under uncultured archaeon. Its description in RNAcentral is "partial 16S ribosomal RNA". It matches the Rfam family "Archaeal small subunit ribosomal RNA", at positions 748 to 1008 of the family's 1478-position model. The record is from RNAcentral.
CAGCCGUAAACUAUGCUCGCUAGGUGUCAGGCAUGGCGCGACCGUGUCUGGUGCCGCAGGGAAGCCGUGAAGCGAGCCACCUGGGAAGUACGGCCGCGAGGCUGAAACUUAAAGGAAUUGGCGGGGGAGCACAACAACGGGUGGAGCCUGCGGUUUAAUUGGAUUCAACACCGUAAAACUCACCAGGGAAGACUGUUACAUGAAGGCCGAGAUGAAGACUCUGCUAGAUUUUCAGAGAGGUGGUGCAUGGCGUCAGUGACU